Molecule: long non-coding RNA, 375 nt
Organism: Drosophila navojoa
Lineage: Eukaryota; Metazoa; Arthropoda; Insecta; Diptera; Drosophilidae
Source: RefSeq, a predicted model, not a curated record
AUAUUUAUUUUGUAGAUGAAUGUAUAUAUAUAUCUUGCGAUAAGGCUGUAAUGGUUGAGCCAUCAGUCAACAAUCAAUCAAUCAAUCACAUUCCUGCGUAAUCGAAGGUUCUCUUAUUGUUUUUGUAAACUUAUUUAUAAUGCCUAAAACUUUGUGUUCAUAAAAUUUGGUAUACAAAAUAAGAAUUAUUAAUAAUAAUAAUAAUGAUAAUAAUAAUUACAAUAAUAGUAGCAUAGUAUAAACAUCAGUUAUGUAUUUAUACUAUGCAAUUUAAAUUAAAACGAUUUCUCAGACUUUUCGUUGUGCCAAAAAAAAAAAAAUAGUUUUCACUCUCUGACCGAGUACCGUUCACAUUCAUAUGGAUAUAGCUAUUGU